CCUACGGGUGGCAGCAGUGAGGAAUAUUGGUCAAUGGCCGAGAGGCUGAACCAGCCAAGUCGCGUGAGGGAAGACGGCCCUACGGGUUGUAAACCUCUUUUGUCGGGGAGCAAAGCGAACCACGUGUGGCUCAUUGAGAGUACCCGAAGAAAAAGCAACGGCUAACGCCGUGCCAGCAGCCGCGGUAAUACGGAGGAUGCGAGCGUUAUCCGGAUUUAUUGGGUUAAAAGGGGGCGGAGGCGGAGGUGCAAGUCAGCGGUAAAAUUGCGGGGCUCAACCCCGUACUGCCGUUGAAACUGCAUCCCUUGAGUGCGCGAGAAGUAUGCGGAAUGCGUGGUGUAGCGGUGAAAUGCAUAGAUAUCACGCAGAACUCCGAUUGCGAAGGCAGCAUACCGGCGCGCAACUGACGCUCAUGCACGAAAGCGUGGGUAUCGAACAGGAUUAGAUACCCGGGUAGUC
RNAcentral lists this ribosomal RNA (459 nucleotides) under uncultured bacterium. RNAcentral describes it as "partial 16S ribosomal RNA". It matches the Rfam family "Bacterial small subunit ribosomal RNA", at positions 338 to 795 of the family's 1533-position model. The record is from RNAcentral.